CCUACGGGAGGCAGCAGUGAGGAAUAUUGGUCAAUGGGCGUAAGCCUGAACCAGCCAAGCCGCGUGAGGGAUGAAGGCUCUAUGGAUUGUAAACCUCUUUUAUAAGGGGAUAAAGUGUGGUACGUGUACUCUUCUGUCCGUACCUUACGAAUAAGGAUCGGCUAACUCCGUGCCAGCAGCCGCGGUAAUACGGAGGAACCGGGCGUUAUCCGGAUUUAUUGGGUUUAAGGGGUGCGUAGGCGGCCUGUUAAGUCAGCGGUGAAAGGCGGUGGCUCAACCUGGGAAUUGCCGUUGAUACUGGGGAGCGGGAAUGUGUUUGAGGCAGGCGGAAUGCAUGGUGUAGCGGUGAAAUGCUUAGAUAUCACGCAGAACACCGAUUGCGAAGGCAGCUUACCAAGCCAUAACUGACGCUGAUGCACGAAAGCGUGGGGAUCAAACAGGAUUAGAUACCCGUGUAGUC
This 460-nucleotide ribosomal RNA is filed under the name uncultured bacterium. RNAcentral describes it as "partial 16S ribosomal RNA". It matches the Rfam family "Bacterial small subunit ribosomal RNA", at positions 338 to 795 of the family's 1533-position model. The record is from RNAcentral.